GAUGAACGCUGGCGGCGUGCCUAAUACAUGCAAGUCGAGCGAACGGACGCGAAGCUUGCUUCUUUGAUGUUAGCGGCGGACGGGUGUGUAACAUGUGGAUAACCUACCUAUAAGACUGGGAUAACUACGGGACACCGGCGCUAAUACCGGAUGAUCUCUUGAACCGCAUGGUUGAAUAGAGAAAGACGGUGUUGCUGUCACUUAUAGAUGGAUCCGGGCUGCAUUAGAGAGUUGGUAAGGUAACGGCUUACCAAGGCAACGAUGCAUAGCCGACCUCUGAGAGUGAUAGCCGGCAUGGGAGCUGAAACGCGGACAAGGCGCCUGCGAGAGGCAGCAGUAGCCAAUCUGCCGCAGUGGUCGAGAGUAUGACGGAGCAACCGCGCGUGAGUGAUGGCGGUCUUCCGAUCGUAAAACUCUGUUAUUAGUGAAGAACAGAUGUGGAAGGAACUGUGGAGAGCUUGACGGUACCGAAUCAGAAAGCAACGGCUAACUACGUG
RNAcentral lists this ribosomal RNA (497 nucleotides) under uncultured bacterium. RNAcentral's name for it is "partial 16S ribosomal RNA". It matches the Rfam family "Bacterial small subunit ribosomal RNA", at positions 28 to 507 of the family's 1533-position model. The record is from RNAcentral.